This 372-nucleotide transfer-messenger RNA is filed under the name Nocardioides marmoriginsengisoli. RNAcentral describes it as "Marmoricola ginsengisoli Standard tmRNA". It matches the Rfam family "transfer-messenger RNA". Rfam says of the family: Bacterial tmRNA, also known as 10Sa RNA or SsrA, is named for its dual tRNA and mRNA-like properties. Its role is to liberate the mRNA from a stalled ribosome. Lineage: Bacteria; Bacillati; Actinomycetota; Actinomycetes; Propionibacteriales; Nocardioidaceae. The record is from Rfam by way of RNAcentral.
GGGGCUGAUUGGUUUCGACUAGGGACGUUAGUCCCAGGAGAAGCGGGUCGAGAAGCCAACGUCAUCUCGUAAACGUUCGUUGGAAACCUAUAACUGCCAACAACACUCGCAGUUCCUUCGCUCUCGCUGCCUGAGCAGUGAUCGAAGCGUCAGACUGGGCAUCCGCCUUCGUCCCAGAUCCUGGCGUCAUCCAGAAGGCUUGCUGAUCAACUUCCGCGGGGAGGGUUGAUCGGGACUUAAUCCCGGCUGAGCCCGUCGGCGCACGUGUCUGUGCAAGCGCCGGGGCCGAGAAACACGCCAUUGCAGACUGCACCCGGAGAAGACCUGGUACGGCGCUCAAGGACGCGGGUUCGAUUCCCGCCAGCUCCACCC